Long non-coding RNA from Gavialis gangeticus (Gharial), 3832 nucleotides. RefSeq lists it as uncharacterized. The transcript is spliced from 2 exons. Lineage: Eukaryota; Metazoa; Chordata; Crocodylia; Gavialidae. The record is from RefSeq and is a predicted model, not a curated record.
UAAAUCCUAUGGUACAAGGAAGAAAAGGUGAGAAAAAGAUCAAAGAUACAUGGAUUACAUAAAAGGUAGAAGUAAAACAUGGUCACUUUUCUCUGUACUGUAUGUAAUCCUACCCACAUAUCAAUGAACUCCCCACUACAAUGCACCCUGCUACAUACAUGCCCUCCCUUCUGCCACCGGAUGGGUUGUUACAGCCAGUGCCCAGAUCCUUAGAAGUACAUAGACAUCUAACUCCCAAUGGGAGAUCAAUGGGAGUUAAACACUAAAAUACCUUUAAGGAUCUGGCCCUCGGUUACUAUAGGAUCUGAGAUUCCUGGUUGUCAUAGGUGGAGAAUGAUUUGCGUAAUUAGCUGUAUUUAUGCAUCACUUGAGCAUAUUGUAUAAAACUAGCACUUAUUUUGGCUCAUAUCUGAUAGCCUGUUCUAUGUGCCGGGGGAGGGGAAACCCAGAUAUAUUUGCAUAUAUAUAAUAAACAUAAUUUCCUUUGUAUAUUUUUGCCUUCACAGGAGAGACAUUCCAAUCAGUAUGCAGUAGUUUUAAACAAUACAGUUUUAUUAUUGAACUUAACCCUUGAAUCUCAUUUCACUGUGAGUUUUUCUUUUCCCUGUGCCUAGUCUCUGCAGCCACAUUCUCUGUUAGAGCUGAUCUGGCUAAAUACCACUGUGUAAAUUAUUAUCCAUUGUCUGGAUUAUAUUUCCAGUGAAUGGAGUGUCAGCCAUAGAGGACCCGAUCCUGUGAGAUGCUGAAUGUCCUUUAUUUCACUGAAAAAAACUAGAAUUUAAGCUCCCAUUGAACUUGAGCUUAACACAGCAGAGCCUAAGAAUGUGAGAGGACAUAAAGCUUCAGUGUUAAAGAAUUUGUUUUUCCUCCUUUUUUUCCUUUCAUAAAAUUUGCUUUUAUCCAUGAAUAUUCUCCUUCGUGCUCUGCUGGUGGUCCAGUGUGAUAACGGACACUGUGCAAGAAGGAGGGAGCCAUCUUUAUUCAUAUGCAACACAGGGCAAAUGAAUUCUCCACCACAAAGAAACUGCCUUUCUAGAGACUGAAGUUACAACCUGGAAAUCCACUAUCUGAAUUCUGUGACGAGGCAGUGGAGCAAUUAAAAUCAACCCCUCAGAAGUUAGCUAAUUAAAGAUAAACACUCUUUUCAGGAAGAAAUGUUCUCAAACUUGCAGGGGACUAGGGGAAGCUGGUUCAGACCCAUCUCAUACAGUCAGGGUUGAAAAGUCUCUUUCUCAUACCUACUGUUUAUACAGUGUAGUGCACAAAUAAGAUGCUUCAGUAUAGAUGAAGACCCUACUUCCAAGACUUUCUAUCUAAAUGACAAAAUACAGGUCUCCGUUCUAUUGUCUAACCGCACAAUGGAUCAGGACUUGGCUGGAGAAUGGGGGAGUUUUGCCUAUUUACACCGCACUCAGUCAUUCUAUAUGGAUGCUUUGUGGCACAGGGAACAUCACAAAGCCAAGCAAGGCUUGGGAUAUUUUAAUUCUCCAUGUUUCUGAACUCUGGACUAUAUCUUUUUUUUUUUUUUUUACAUGAAGAGUGUCUGACCCAUUCAAGUGAUUCUGUGUUAUUGUAGUGAAAACAUCUUGGUGUAACUACAGUGAAGACUCCACCUACUAACCACUUGGCUACGGUUAGAGCACUGUUUAGAAACUGUGUUGUGUGCCUGCAAACGUACUGCCCAGUUUUAAGUGGGUUUAAUGUAGUGUCAGAUAGCUAGAACAAAUAUGGCUGCAUACACUUAGAAGAUGUCUAGUAUCAUAGCUACCACCCAACUUGCAACUGGUGUCCAAUACUUCAGUUACUAGAUUGUGGGAAGGAUUAGGUAAAGAAAAACAACUUUCAACAGGAAACAGACUUUCCAUUGUGGCCUCAUUGUACAUUCUCUGUGCUGCCUUUUCUGCUCAGUAACACAGGCCAGUUUUGAACACUCUAAAUUGUCAAGAGCUGCAUGGGUUUCCCAGAGUGUGCUUUGUCUGACAAUACAGAAGACGGGUUUUGUUAACUGACUUGAACUCAUUGUCCUUGCCCUCCUGUCCCCACCACCAUCAUCUCUGCAGCCCAGCCCCGCACACCCUCCAUGGCUCCGUUACAGUGUUUGGGUUCAUGAAGUACAAAUUAGCAUAAUCAGAUUAGCUGCAGGGGUUGUCCAUUUGAAAAGGAAAGAAAAGAGAAAAAGUGUUUCACAAAGAGCAGCCCUGAGCAGGGCAGAAGGGGCUGUUAUUGCUGUUGUGCCAUGGCUCUGAAAACCUGCACCUGCAUUGCAAGCAGGUCCUCUUCUAACUAAGGACUCUUAGAUGGUAUUAAAACAUGGAACUAGGGGAGGAGGGGAAAGAAAGGGUGAAAGCAAGCAAGCCAGAAAGCAAGAGUCAGCCCUGCAUACCAUUAAUUGAUUUAUCUGGAUUGGGAAUGUGCCGUUUGCUGACAGUGGAAAACGCUGUUUGAUUCCUACUCAGCAUGGAGAGGAGAUCAGCCCGGUAAUCUGGUCUAUCGAGAUAAGAGUUUUAGAGCCUCUGCAGGGGACUGAUAAGAAACGCAGGAGGAAUGAGGCCCAUUGGCUGUUUUGAUUUUGCUGGUUUUGUGCUUGGUUUGCAUUUCAAAAUCUGGGGGAAUUCUCCAUUUGGGGAUGACAUUUCCAUCGUAAUAACAUUUUAAUUGCCAGUCCUUCAGUUUUGCAAGCACUCUUUUAAUUAAAAAUAAAAUGAAAUGAAAAUAAAAAGGCAGACUGAUUCACAUCCCUGCAGGAAGCGGACAACAGGUACAAGUCAUCGCUUCCUUACCAUUUGAAUCUAGUGCAAAGCUUUCUGGAGGUGCUGCAAAUACAAACUGCUUGUUUAUUCCCUGUCCAGGUUCAUUGGGUACAGUGGCGGUAGGAACUGAUUUGCAUGAUUGCCAGAGCACCCUCGUUAAGUCUCUCUUCCCUGACCUUGCUUGGAGCAGAGCUCCCUCAGAGGACUCAGUACUGAAAUCCCUGGCCAAGGUUUUGAAAAACAAUUUAUGAUUUAAGCCCAUUGACGGAAACAGUUCUGGAUGCCAGUUAUUUAAUUAAUGACUGUGGUGUACUGGACUAUGUAAACUGAAACAAGAUGCUGGAGUCCAACUGUCUGUACCUCUAAAUGGAGGGUAUUCAUCCUAGAGCAUUAGCAGCAGCAUCCAUUUUGCUGUAUGAAGAGGCAGAAUGAGCAAUCUUGUGGCAUCUCUCUCUCCCUUUCACAGAGAUUAGUUGUUGUUGCUGUUCUUGUUUCUUCACCUGAAAGAAAAAUAAUUUGGAGUGAAAAAAUACAUGGUUGUCUCUUGAGAAAUGGGGAUAAAUGCAAGGCCCUUGGGGUCAUACUACAACCUCAUCUGGCUUCUGACACAAGUGUCCAGGAUUUGAAAAAAAGCAGAGCUUACCUUUCCUGUUCUGAUCUUCAACCCAGAAUUCCUAGUUAAAAUUCUGCUUCCUUACCUGCAUUUAAAAGUUUAUGGAAAAAUUUUCCCAACUCUGCAUUUGCAUUUUGCAUGUCUACACAGACGUGUUUCUCCAAGAAUAGAAUUUCACAUUGUGCGCACAUUUGCAUGGUUUGUUAUUUUCGUCAGGAGGCACUUAAAAUGCAGAAAACCUGAGCACUUGCCUUUUGUGGAAAAAUUUAGGAAUGAAGAACAUGUUCGUGACAUCAUUCAAGGGAAACAGCUAGAAGAUAUGACCCAUGAGAAGUGUUGUGCAACACUCCACAUUGGCCAGUGGAAACUGUUCCCAUCCAAGACACCGGUCCAUUUUUCAUUUAAACAGAGGGCAAGUUAGCCCAAUACAGAACAUUUUUGAAAAUAAAAUCCAUCUGUGACCAAGGCA